Molecule: ribosomal RNA, 482 nt
Filed under: uncultured bacterium
Lineage: Bacteria
Description: partial 16S ribosomal RNA
Rfam family: Bacterial small subunit ribosomal RNA
Source: RNAcentral
GACGAACGCUGGCGGCGUGCUUAACACAUGCCGGUCGAACGAUGAAGAAGAGAAACGCGAACUUCGGUUCAAAUUUCACUUCGGAUUAGUGGCAGACGGGUGAGUAACGCGUGAGCAACCUACCUCUUACAAAGGGAUAGCCUCGGGAAACCGUGAUUAAUACCAUAUGACACAUUCAUAAGGCAUCUUAAGAAUGUUAAAGCUACGGCGGUAAGAGAUGGGCUCGCGUCCCAUUAGCUAGUUGGUGAGGUAACGGCCCACCAAGGCGACGAUGGGUAACCGGCCUGAGAGGGUGAACGGUCACAUUGGAACUGAGACACGGUCCAAACUCCUACGGGAGGCAGCAGUGGGGAAUAUUGCACAAUGGAGGGAACUCUGAUGCAGCGACGCCGCGUGAGCGAUGAAGGAAUUCGUUUCGUAAAGCUCUGUUCUAUGGGAAGAAAAGGACUGUACCAUAGGAGAAAGCCCCGGCUAAAUACGUG